UCAAAAUCUCAGUAAUUUAAAGUAACAAAUGAUUAUGGUUUUUGCUCCCAAGUCUGCAGGUUAUUUGGGUUAGCCUCUCCUUCAUGCUGUGGUUUACCUGAGCUUGACUCCUGGCUGUGGGGGUGAAGUCACAUCUGAUCCACUUUCUUCAAUCAGUGGCUACUCAAGGUCUAUGUGGUAGGGAACUGAAGCCUCCUGACAACAUCUAUGUGAGUGAGUAAACUUGAAAACAGAUCCUUUAUCCCUAAAUGACUGCAAUACUGGUCAACAGCUUGACUACAGCCUAUGAGAUGCCUGAGAUAGAACUUUCCUGUUAAGCUUCAUCAGAAUCUUGACCCUCAGAAACUGUGUGAGGUAGUAAAUGCUUGUCACUUUAAGUUUCAAGAUUUAAUUAGUUUUGUACCAAUAGCGAACUAAUAUAUGGAUAAAAAUAUCUUUGCCUUAUAUUUUAUGAAAACAAAUCAUGUGAAUUCUGUCUUUAUGUAAUAUUCAGUUUUAAUAUAAAAUAAUGCUUCAGAUUACACUCUAUAAGUUAGACUGAUGUUUUAAGAAGAUUGCCCUCUUUAUCCUUUUUUUUUCCCCCUUGGGGGCCCUGGUCAAAACAUCUGCUUUCAAACAUCCUUAUAUUACAAAUGUCAAAUAUAAAAUGCAAAAUACCCAGGAUUAUUUUUAAUGAGAAAUGUCUUGCCUACAUGGAAAAAAAAACUAAAAUUUUUUUUUUCUGAAAAAGCAAAAUGAAGAUAUGAAAUAGGGAGAUAAAUCUUCCCAAAUUUAUUAAUAAAUCUGGAGUAAUUCCAAAACAAAAAGAGGAGAUAGCAUAAUAUAAUGCAUAAGAAUUCUUGCUCUAAAGUCAAAUGGCCUGAGCAACCUACUGACUCUAACAUUUACCGGCUCUGUGAUAGAGAGCAAAUUAUUUAAUUCUGUGUGCUUCAGUAUAGUCACCACCUUUGAGCAGAAUAAACAAGACAAUCAAAAUGGA
Molecule: long non-coding RNA, 979 nt
Organism: Herpailurus yagouaroundi (jaguarundi)
Lineage: Eukaryota; Metazoa; Chordata; Mammalia; Carnivora; Felidae
Exons: 2
Source: RefSeq, a predicted model, not a curated record